This 219-nucleotide ribosomal RNA is filed under the name uncultured bacterium. RNAcentral's name for it is "partial 16S ribosomal RNA". It matches the Rfam family "Bacterial small subunit ribosomal RNA", at positions 355 to 566 of the family's 1533-position model. The record is from RNAcentral.
UAGGGAAUCUUCGGCAAUGGACGAAAGUCUGACCGAGCAACGCCGCGUGAGUGAAGAAGGUUUUCGGAUCGUAAAACUCUGUUGUUAGAGAAGAACAAGGAUGAGAAGAGAAUGUUCAUCCCUUGACGGUAUCUAACCAGAAAGCCACGGCUAACUACGUGCCAGCAGCCGCGGUAAUCGUAGGUGGCAAGCGUUGUCCGGAUUUAUUGGGCGUAAAGC